AACGCACAUUGCACUCUCUGGUAUUCCGGAGAGUAUGCUUGUUUGAGUAUCUGUAAACAUCUCAAAUCUCUCUUCGCUUGCGUCGAGAGAAUUGGAUUUGAGCGAUCCCGACUCCUUCGUCAGAAAGAGGAGGGUCGCUUGAAAUGCAGGUACCAGCUGGACAUUCUUCUGAGCUAAAAGCAUAUCUAUUUAGUCCCGUCAAACGGAUUAUUACUUUUGCUUCAGCUAAUAUAAAGGUCGAAUGAACUACCAACGCUGAUUGCAGGAAAACUUGUUCGUUUAUUCGGACUUGUAAACUCGAUCUCAAAUCAAGUAAGACUACCCGCUGAACUUAA
RNAcentral lists this unclassified non-coding RNA (335 nucleotides) under Mortierella sp. Its description in RNAcentral is "partial contains 5.8S ribosomal RNA, internal transcribed spacer 2, and large subunit ribosomal RNA". Lineage: Eukaryota; Fungi; Mortierellomycota; Mortierellomycetes; Mortierellales; Mortierellaceae. RNAcentral also lists the same sequence under 2 other names. The record is from RNAcentral.